This 274-nucleotide ribosomal RNA is filed under the name uncultured bacterium. RNAcentral describes it as "partial 16S ribosomal RNA". It matches the Rfam family "Bacterial small subunit ribosomal RNA", at positions 523 to 796 of the family's 1533-position model. The record is from RNAcentral.
AUACGGAGGGUGCAAGCGUUAAUCGGAAUUACUGGGCGUAAAGCGCGCGUAGGCGGCUGAUUAAGUCGGAUGUGAAAUCCCUGGGCUCAACCUAGGAACUGCAUCCGAUACUGGUCAGCUAGAGUUUUGGAGAGGUAAGUGGAAUUUCCGGUGUAGCGGUGAAAUGCAUAGAGAUCGGAAGGAACACCAGUGGCGAAGGCGACUUACUGGCCAAAAACUGACGCUGAGGUGCGAAAGCGUGGGUAGCGAACAGAAUUAGAUACCCCAGUAGUCC